Molecule: RNase P RNA, 404 nt
Filed under: Aquimixticola soesokkakensis
Lineage: Bacteria; Pseudomonadati; Pseudomonadota; Alphaproteobacteria; Rhodobacterales; Paracoccaceae
Description: Bacterial RNase P class A
Rfam family: Bacterial RNase P class A
About the family: Ribonuclease P (RNase P) is a ubiquitous endoribonuclease, found in archaea, bacteria and eukarya as well as chloroplasts and mitochondria. Its best characterised activity is the generation of mature 5'-ends of tRNAs by cleaving the 5'-leader elements of precursor-tRNAs. Cellular RNase Ps are ribonucleoproteins.
Source: Rfam by way of RNAcentral
GCGGAUGGCUGGAUGGCCGCGGGCCGAUACCUUUUGGACUUCGGCGCGAGGAAAGUCCGGACUCCAUCAAGCAACGGUGCCGGGUAACGCCCGGCGGGGGCAACCCCAGGGAUAGCGCCACAGAGAACAGACCGCCCCGUAUAUCGGGGUAAGGGUGAAACGGUGGAGUAAGAGCCCACCGCGCGACUGGCAACAGAAGCGGCACGGCAAGCCCCACCGGGAGCAACGCCAAAUAGGGACCUCGCGCGGGGACUGUGUGUGCAAACAUACCGCUCGCAGGGUCGCUUGAGCCCGAGAGGUCCGGGUUGGCAGCUUGAGUGCACUGGUAACAGUGUGCCUAGAGGAAUGGUCAUCGACGGGGGUCUCCCCCUGAACAAAAUCCGGCUUACAGGCCGUCCGCGCAA